AGUGAACGCUGGCGGUAGGCCUAACACAUGCAAGUCGAACGGCAGCACAGUAAGAGCUUGCUCUUACGGGUGGCGAGUGGCGGACGGGUGAGGAAUACAUCGGAAUCUACUUUUUCGUGGGGGAUAACGUAGGGAACCUUACGCUAAUACCGCAUACGACCUACGGGUGAAAGCAGGGGAUCUUCGGACCUUGCGCGAUUGAAUGAGCCGAUGUCGGAUUAGCUAGUUGGCGGGGUAAAGGCCCACCAAGGCGACGAUCCGUAGCUGGUCUGAGAGGAUGAUCAGCCACACUGGUACUGAGACACGGUCCAGACUCCUACGGGAGGCAGCAGUGGGGAAUAUUGGACAAUGGGCGCAAGCCUGAUCCAGCCAUACCGCGUGGGUGAAGAAGGCCUUCGGGUUGUAAAGCCCUUUUGUUGGGAAAGAAAAGCAGCAGGUUAAUACCCCGCUGUUCUGACGGUACCCAAAGAAUAAGCACCGGCUAACUUCGUG
RNAcentral lists this ribosomal RNA (492 nucleotides) under uncultured bacterium. RNAcentral's name for it is "partial 16S ribosomal RNA". It matches the Rfam family "Bacterial small subunit ribosomal RNA", at positions 29 to 507 of the family's 1533-position model. The record is from RNAcentral.